GGAGGGGCCGUGAAUGGGAGCAGCAGCAUGCCUCCACCCGGCCUCUGGAGCGCGGGGCUGUGGCUGAGUGGCGGCAUGAGCCGGUUCGUUUUGGAACCCGGGCCCCCGGGGAAGCGGUGGCUGGUGGCUGGCCUGGGGAACUCCGGACUGCCGGGCACAAGGCACAGCGUGGGUAUGGCGGUGCUGGGGCAACUGGCACGGCGGCUGGGGGUGGCUGAGAGCUGGGUCCGUGACCGUCGCUGCGCCGCCGACCUCGCCCUGGCCUCACUUGGGGAUACCCAGCUGGUCCUGCUUCGGCCGCGGCGUCUCAUGAAUGCCAACGGGCGCAGCGUGGCCCAGGCCGCGGAGCUUUUCAGGCUGACUGCUGAGGAGGUCUACCUGGUGCAUGAUGAACUGGACAAGCCCCUGGGGAAGCUGGCUCUGAAGCUGGGGGGAAGCGCCAGGGGCCACAAUGGAGUUCGUUCCUGUAUUAGCUGCCUCAAGUCCAGUGCAAUGCCACGGCUGCGGGUAGGCAUCGGGCGCCCGACGCACCCUGAUGCCGUGCAGGCGCACGUGCUGGGCUGCUUCUCCCCCUCCGAGCAGGAGCUGCUGCCUCCAUUGCUGGAGCGCGCCACAGACCUGCUCCUGGACCACAUCCGUGAGCGAAGCCAGAGGCCCUUGUCAGGCACCUGACACCAGUGGACAUGGCUGCCCGCCUGACUGCCACACCCACACACCUGGCCAUGUCCACAGAGGUGCCACGCCAGCCUGUGUAAAACCAGUCGAAAGUCACCACGGACACCGAAUGGGCGCUGAUGUUUUUAUUUAUUAGACUGAGUGCUUUCGUACAGAACAGUACAGAGAUGAUACAUGUUUGUGC
RNA transcript from Artibeus jamaicensis (Jamaican fruit-eating bat), 859 nucleotides. It is a transcript of the gene named peptidyl-tRNA hydrolase 1 homolog, with no coding region annotated. Lineage: Eukaryota; Metazoa; Chordata; Mammalia; Chiroptera; Phyllostomidae. The transcript has 6 exons. The record is from RefSeq and is a predicted model, not a curated record.